ACCAGAAAUUCAGCAUAUCGAUAAGAAAGAAUAUUUCUGGUCCAAAAAUUGGACAAUUUUCCAUCAAGUUGAAUAUUGUCUAACAGUUUAAGUUGUCUUCUUCUCUGAACAGUCGACAAAUUAGACAGCACUAAUUCAUAAUAAUUUUUAAUAUGCUAUCUGAAAAACCAAAAAGAAAAAAAAGAAAAUCCAACCAUGUCAUUCAAAUUUCUG
RNAcentral lists this unclassified non-coding RNA (213 nucleotides) under Hevea brasiliensis (rubber tree). The record is from RNAcentral. Lineage: Eukaryota; Viridiplantae; Streptophyta; Magnoliopsida; Malpighiales; Euphorbiaceae.